This 426-nucleotide ribosomal RNA is filed under the name uncultured Caryophanaceae bacterium. RNAcentral's name for it is "bacterial SSU rRNA". It matches the Rfam family "Bacterial small subunit ribosomal RNA", at positions 356 to 774 of the family's 1533-position model. The record is from RNAcentral. Lineage: Bacteria; Bacillati; Bacillota; Bacilli; Caryophanales; Caryophanaceae.
AGGGAAUCUUCCACAAUGGACGAAAGUCUGAUGGAGCAACGCCGCGUGAGUGAUGAAGGUUUUCGGAUCGUAAAACUCUGUUGUAAGGGAAGAACCAGUACGUCAGGCAAUGGACGUACCUUGACGGUACCUUAUUAGAAAGCCACGGCUAACUACGUGCCAGCAGCCGCGGUAAUACGUAGGUGGCAAGCGUUGUCCGGAAUUAUUGGGCGUAAAGCGCGCGCAGGUGGUUUCUUAAGUCUGAUGUGAAAGCCCACGGCUUAACCGUGGAGGGGUAAUGGAAAACGGGGGGAGUGGAGGGAGGAGAGGGAAGUGGGAAUUCAAGUUGAGGGGUGAAAUUCGGAGGGAAUUGGGGGAACAACAGUGGCGAAGGCGAAUUUUUGGGUCGGAACUUAAGGUGGGGCGCGGAAGGAAUGGGAGCAAACA